CCUACGGGAGGCAGCAGUAGGGAAUAUUGCUCAAUGGGGGAAACUCUGAAGCAGCAACGCCGCGUGGAGGAUGAAGGUUUUCGGAUUGUAAACUCCUUUUGUUAGAGAAGAUAAUGACGGUAUCUAACGAAUAAGCACCGGCUAACUCCGUGCCAGCAGCCGCGGUAAUACGGAGGGUGCAAGCGUUACUCGGAAUCACUGGGCGUAAAGAGCGCGUAGGCGGGUUAACAAGUCAGAUGUGAAAUCCUAUGGCUUAACCAUAGAACUGCAUUUGAAACUGUUAUUCUAGAGUAUGGGAGAGGUAGGUGGAAUGCAUGGUGUAGGGGUAAAAUCCGUAGAGAUCAAGAGGAAUACUCAUUGCGAAGGCGACCUGCUAGAACAUAACUGACGCUGAUGCGCGAAAGCGUGGGGAGCAAACAGGAUUAGAUACCCUUGUAGUC
RNAcentral lists this ribosomal RNA (440 nucleotides) under uncultured bacterium. RNAcentral describes it as "partial 16S ribosomal RNA". It matches the Rfam family "Bacterial small subunit ribosomal RNA", at positions 338 to 795 of the family's 1533-position model. The record is from RNAcentral.